CUGAGAAACGGCUACCACAUCCAAGGAAGGCAGCAGGCACGCAAAUUACCCACUCCCGGCACGGGGAGGUAGUGACAAAAAAUAACGAUACGGGACUCAUCCGAGGCCCCGUAAUCGGAAUGAGAACACCCUAAAUCCUUUAACGAGGAUCUAUUGGAGGGCAAGUCUGGUGCCAGCAGCCGCGGUAAUUCCAGCUCCAAUAGCGUAUAUUAAAGUUGUUGCGGUUAAAAAG
This 232-nucleotide ribosomal RNA is filed under the name Cletomorpha nyasana. Its description in RNAcentral is "partial small subunit ribosomal RNA". It matches the Rfam family "Eukaryotic small subunit ribosomal RNA", at positions 396 to 626 of the family's 1831-position model. The record is from RNAcentral. Lineage: Eukaryota; Metazoa; Arthropoda; Insecta; Hemiptera; Coreidae.